This is a non-coding RNA of Potamilus streckersoni, 75 nucleotides long. Lineage: Eukaryota; Metazoa; Mollusca; Bivalvia; Unionida; Unionidae. The record is from the annotation of a GenBank genome assembly.
GACCGCUCCGGUUGCCUAGUUGUUAGAGCCUCCGCCUCGGAUGCGGGAGGUCGUGGUUCGAUCCCAGUCGAGUCA